UCCAACAGUCUGUUCACUUUUUGGACUGCUGCUGCGCAUUGAGCAGAUGUUUUCAGAGAACUGUCCCCAAUGACUCCAAGGUCCGUUUCUGGAGUGGUAACCACUAAUUUAGACCCCAUCAUUUUGUAGGUAGAGUUGGUAUUAUGUUUUCCAAUGUGCAUUACUUUGCAUUUAUCAACAUUGAAUUUCAUCUGCCAUUUUGUUGCCCAGUCACCCAGUUUUGAGAGAUCCUUU
This is a long non-coding RNA of Chelonia mydas (Green sea turtle), 234 nucleotides long. RefSeq lists it as uncharacterized. Lineage: Eukaryota; Metazoa; Chordata; Testudines; Cheloniidae. The transcript has 3 exons. The record is from RefSeq and is a predicted model, not a curated record.